Molecule: microRNA precursor, 84 nt
Filed under: Lottia gigantea (owl limpet)
Lineage: Eukaryota; Metazoa; Mollusca; Gastropoda; Lottiidae
Description: microRNA lgi-mir-2722 precursor
Source: miRBase by way of RNAcentral
GUUGACCCCACUGGAGAGGUGUUUCAUAGGCGCUACAGUGGAAGUGACGUGGCGCCGUGGAAACAUCUACCUAGUGCGGUUGUA